AUGGGAAAGUCCGGGACACCCCUUCCCCCUGAAGGAUACUCAAGAGAGAGCCAAGGAGGGUUCGGGACUGGGAAUCUUCCCACCCCCACCCAACCAUCCCCCCUGGCUCCGGCCCUGGUGCAUCACGGUCCUCCGAGGACGGAACCGAAAGCUAGCGGCGAAUCUUGGUCCCUCUCUCCGAAGCUGAUCGGGCCCGGGGACUGUCGGCGCAUAGGACUCGGGGCCGCUGGCUGCCGCGGCUGGGGGUCCAUACCCCCUGCCGACUCUCCCUGCCCCGCACCGGCGGCUGCAAAGUCCUGCCCCCCGGGGUUGGGGAAGGCCAGGGACGGGUUCCCAGCCGCCCCCCACCCCCAUCCAAAGCGGCUUCAGCGACUCCCGGGUGCCGCCGCCGGCGCUUCCUCCUCCGGCUCCCGCCGCCGCCGCUGCUCCCCGGACCGGCCGGGCGGCCGGGCCGUGGUCCCGGAGCUCUGCAGCGGGGGCGCGUCCUGCGGCGCCUCGAUCCUCGUGGGGGCUGUGGCGUUGGAGCCCCCAGUCGCUCCCCCCCGGGGUCCCAGCCGGCGCCGUGGCUGUGGCCGUGGCGUUGGAGGGGCCGGGAGGCGGGCCGCCGCCGGGAGCCCCCGAGGUGCCGGCCCCCACCGGCUGCCAGAUGAGGCUAUAGUAGACGGCGAGCACGAUGGCAGCCAGGGACACGGACAGCACGUAGGCGAACACGGUGGCGAGCCGGACCCACUUCUUGUUGGUCUUGGCCGCCAUCUUCGCCUUCUUGUCCCCGGUGUAGGUGGCCGGCUUGCCCCGCUCGGCCAGGGCCGAGUCGCGCUCCUUCAUGGGGGGGCCCCGGCCUUUGCCCCGGUGCUCCACGGCCCCGGCUGCUGGGGGCCCCGGAGGGCUGGCGAGGACUCGGAGGCGUGGGGCCGGACUGCACUGGGGGGCGGCCUGGCGCCCUCACGACCCCGCGGGCUUCUGGCUCCGGCCGCCGCCGCCGCCAGCCCCAGCCACCUUGUCGCUGCUGCCGGGGCCUGA
RNAcentral lists this long non-coding RNA (1020 nucleotides) under Phascolarctos cinereus (koala). RNAcentral's name for it is "lncRNA (ENSPCIG00000036173.1)". The record is from RNAcentral. Lineage: Eukaryota; Metazoa; Chordata; Mammalia; Diprotodontia; Phascolarctidae.